This 200-nucleotide unclassified non-coding RNA is filed under the name Hevea brasiliensis (rubber tree). The record is from RNAcentral. Lineage: Eukaryota; Viridiplantae; Streptophyta; Magnoliopsida; Malpighiales; Euphorbiaceae.
UCGGCGUGUCGCCGGAACGCAAGAUCCAAUUGAUCUGUAUCGUGCUGCUGCUGAUGGUGGUCGAAUUGUUGAACACGGCCAUCGAGAAACUGGCCGAUCGCCUGACAACCGACCACGACAAGCAGAUCGGCCGGGUNNNUGGGGUCGGCGGCCGUCGGCGUCACGUUGGUGAUCGCCGGAGGGGUCUGGCUGUUCGCCAU